GGGCACUUGGCGCAGUUGGUUAGCGCGUCGCGCUUACAUCGCGAAGGUCGGGGGUUCGAAUCCCUCAGUGCCCACCA
RNAcentral lists this transfer RNA (77 nucleotides) under bacterium. RNAcentral's name for it is "tRNA-Val". It matches the Rfam family "tRNA". From Rfam's summary of the family: Transfer RNA (tRNA) molecules are approximately 80 nucleotides in length. Their secondary structure includes four short double-helical elements and three loops (D, anti-codon, and T loops). The record is from RNAcentral.